This 6704-nucleotide long non-coding RNA is filed under the name Homo sapiens (human). Its description in RNAcentral is "non-protein coding lnc-FAM104A-2:1". Lineage: Eukaryota; Metazoa; Chordata; Mammalia; Primates; Hominidae. The record is from RNAcentral.
AGGGGACAUUGUUUUGAAAGACAGAUCAAGGGCAUAGUUAAAGGAAACAAACUCUAAUUGCUAAAUUUUAAACAUGUGAGACUCCCUGCUCAAAGGCAGCUGGUCUCCUGUCUUGACUUUGCUGAGAGCAAAGUGGGCCUCCACUGACCUUGACACUCUCUAAGGUGAAGCUGAUCUCUGAAAACAGACGUCACUGCUGAAGCAGCCUGCCACAUCAGUGCCUCACCUUGGUUCUUCUCCAGCAAUUAACAUUUACUUUAUUGGUCCUGGAGGCAGGAAGGAAGCCCUCAAAGUCCCAAACUCUGUAAAUACCCAUUUCCAUGUCUGCCCAACAUCCCAGAACCAUAUUACUGAUAUCCAACCAGAUUUUGUGUCGGCUCAGCUGGACUAGAAAUGUUCCAUUUAAAACCAAGAAGCAAUAGGUUUCCUGGGCUGCAAAGACAGACCUUCGAGGAGGCCACAUGGUAUGGCUGAAGUUGCAUGUUCUGCUACCUUUGAGCUUGCAAACCCUUGGAGACAGGUGGUCACGUGAAGGUGCAGAGAAAAAAAGUGGAACAGCUGUGGUCUGUCAUCUCCCGAGCCCAUCCACCUGGGAGUUUGGAAGAGAUAUUUAGGACAGGAUUUUCAUCUGCCAAAAAGUGCUUAAGCUGAAGGCAAAAAAAGUAAGUCUUCCUUCCACCCAAGCCUUUGCUCUGUGAGUGUCUAGCACGCUGGGCUGGCAGCACAGCUGAGACUAGGCUAGCUUUAAUUAAUCUUGAGAAUGAACCCUGGAGAUCAGACUUCUGUUCCUCAGAGGAAGACAUAACAAUACUCUCUUCUCCAUCACACACUGGCUGAUACUUAAGCAAACAAGAUGAGCCAAGGUAGAUAUCCCAAGCCACGGAAAUGAACAAGCAGGACCAUGGACAAAGGGAAGGUUUCCUUUCUGUUUAAGAGACUCUUUUGCGGAGGUGUGCUCACGGGCAAGGAAGACAGCGGCCAUUCAUUUUCUCACUGGCAGAGUAUCACAGCUUCCCCAUAGCGUUCAGCCUUGGAUUUGUAUUAAGAAGCAUGGUCCGGGGGACCAGGGGGAAGAAAUGUCUGUUAAGAUGCUGUCAUUGAUGAGACUCAAUUUAAGAAUUAUUUUCAGUGAUUUUUCUAUGAAGAAAUUGUAUCAUUUUUCUUAUGCAAAAAUGUUGCUGUUAGCAGUACAAGUGCUUCAUGCCAAUGGACCGGUGGGGGUGAUUUGCAGGAAGCCGUCACACCCUUUUGCCAACCCUUUUUGCUGGUGGUGUUGAAUUGAGGCAGGGACAGCUGGCUGGGGCUGGGCAUGCUAGGCAUGCAGUCUGUGAUCUAGCAUGGAAUUCUCUGGGUAAAAAACUAGUUUAUGCAUAAUGUCCUCCUCCCUAUCGUGGCAGCAGUCUAGAAAAAAUGACUAACUGGCCAGGCGGGGUGGCUCAUCCCUGCUAAAGCUUCAUCUACACGUCCAGUAUUACCCAACUCUGUUACUGAAACACAAGCUAACAUCAUUCAACAUAGGCCACAAUAUCAUAUUAUUUUUCCCAAUAUCUUUUUCACUGAGUCCACUUAGGUUUAAUCAGCACUUAACUACCCAUGCUAAUGGCGGGUAAGUAGCAGCUUGCAUAACCCAAGUGAUCAGAUACUCUGAAAUCAAUGGGGUGCAUUACUUUUUAUUCCCUCCCAGCACCCAGCAGAUUUGUCUUCAUCAUUAAAUAUGGAAUGGAGACUAAAAUUUUUGAAUUAAAAUGAUGUUAACCUUUAAAUUAGCAUGUUGAUUCUCUCUUUUAGAUAAAAGAGAACCAGAGAGCAAGUUAUCUUUGAAACAGAUACUUCAAAAAGUAGAGAAUAGCUUUCCCUAUGGUAGAAACCUAACUGUGUAUUUGGAUGGAAUUAUAGCAUCAGAUUUAAAGGCCUGUCUUUUAGCCUUAGAAUGGUCAUCCUGCUGAUGAAGACCCACAGAUGCCUGGGUCUGCGUUUCAUUUUCAGGUUACAGGUGGCUGCUUUGGACUCUGGCCUCCCUACAGGCAGUUUCUCUGGUUGCAGGGUCAUGGGUACUAUAGAAUUAGUCUUUGUUUUUUUUUUUUGAGAUGAAGUUUCGCUCUUGUUGCCCAGGCUGGAGUGCAAUGGCACGAUCUCAGCUCACCGCAAUCUCCACCUCCUGGGUUCAAGCCAUUCUCCUGUCUCAGCCUCCCAAGUAGCUGGGAUUACAGGCGCCCGCCACCAUGCCUGGGUAAUUUUUUGUAUUUUUAGUAGAGACAGGGUUUCACCAUGUUGGCCAGGCUGGUCUUGAACUCUUGACCUCAGGCAAUCCACCCACCUCAGCCUCCCAAAGUGUGGGAUUACAGGCAUAAGCCACCACGCCCGGCCUGUAGAAUUAGUCUUCUCUGCCUUGAAAUUAUUUCUACCAAUUCUUGGUCCCUUGGAAUCAUUUCCCUAAAACUCAGCAUUUAUUCAAGGACCCUGGAACAUCUUAUGUUAUAAUAAUUGUAAAGUUAGGUCUAAAGCAUUUUCUUCCAAAUCUUUGCUUGUUUUUGUUUAAAAAAAAAAAUCACACUUCGCUAAACAUGGCUGCUAGGAAGCCCUGAGCUGAACUUACAGUUGACCUUACUUUUACUAAUGGUGUGGGAUUUUCCUGCAUGCAAUUUCUGCCACAACUUUUUCUGUAGUCUUGUUUUAUAACUAUACCUCUUUUUAUUUUUGUAUGGAUUUAUCUAUCCAAAAUCUUAUUGAACAUAUUUUUCUGAGCCACAGGAAGUACUUUUGGGAGUGAGGUGGUGUGAAUUUAUACAGAACAAAAGCAGCACAUUAAGAAGGACACCCACAGGUGGAGCACUUAGUCACUCCCACCGGCCAACAGCGCUUGCUUAGGGAGCCGGAUGAGGAAAGCUCAUUUAAAAAUAUGGUAACAUCUAUGUGUGAGAUGCUGAGUGAUGCUCUCAGAUGAAACCCAAAGAUGAUGACAUCCUUGCAGACACCCAGGUGUGUAUUUCUUCAUACUCUAGAAAAUGAUCAGUCAAUGAAAUGGAUAUUGUCUCUUUUCUUAUCGCUUGUAAAUGUCAGUUUGGGGAACGAAAAAAAUGCCACUUUAUGGUGUGAAGUGCCUGUCUACAAUAGUCCUUGCAGAGCGGCUCAGUGAGUCCAUGGCAUUAAAGAUAUGACAGUUACUAUGUAUACAGUCAGUGAGGAAGGCAGCACAGCAGUAUCUCCGAGAGGUGGGGCCCCACCAACACUCACACCACACCCCCUGCACGCUGCAUAUUCAUUGGCAGGUGAGGGUGCUUUUGUUUUGUGAACAAUGUCUUCUGGUCUUUAGUACGCAUUGUGGUUUUCCUUUUUUUUUUUUUUUUUUUUUUUUUUUUUUUUUUUUGAGACUGAGUUUUGCUCUUGUUGCUCAGGCUAGAGUGCAGUGGCACAAUCUCAGCUUACUGCAACCUCCACCUCCCAAGUUCAAGUGAUUCUCCUGCCUCAGCCUCCCGAGCAGCUAGGAUUACAGGCACGUGACACCACGCCCGACUAAUUUACAUAUUUUUAGUAGUGAUGGGGUUUCACCAUGUUGGCCAGGCUGGUCUCGAACUCCUGACCUCGGGUGAUCCACCCACCUCGGCCUCCCAAAGUGCUGGGAUUACAGGUGUAAGCCACCACGCCCGGCCAUGCAUUGUGGUUUUCUUAAUGCCCAGCUUUGUAUGAAGUCCUCUAAAGUCCCCUUUGAGGAGUCGUCGAAUUACAUUUCCAUUUUCUUUCAUUAGGAAGCUAUGUCUGGCCUGAAAAAUAAAAACAAUUUUAUGGUUUCUCAUAAAGGUGUAAUUUUGCUUCACUCUUAUUCACUUAUUUUCACGAUGGAGAGAAUGAAAUUGUUUCCCCACAGGAAUCAUAGUCCAUUUUUUGCCUUUCAUGUUAGUGAUUUUUCCCCCUCAUAGCUCCCUAAGAAAAACUAAAGCAAUUUGAAAAGAAAAAAAUGCAAUCUUAUAACAAAGUUGGCUUUGUCUUGAUAAAUACAAUGAUGGAUGACCACAACCACUUAAGUCCUUUUGGGCAAAUGAAUAAUUCUCUGACUAUAUCUGAGAAGUGGAAACACAUGAAUUUACAUUCUGGUUCUUCAAAUAUCUUCUCCCUUUCCCUUCUUACAUUGACCUCACUUGCCUGAAAUUAAUGAAGCAAAUCCCCAAGGGCAGAGGCUAGAAGGUUUGUGAGGCUUGAAGCUUAUACGAGGUUCCUCUUUAAGAAAAACAAUACAAACAUAUCUUACUUUCACAAUUUUUUACAAAAACAUAUGACCACAUGAACAUACUGCCCAAGUCCCUCCUGGGCCUUGGCAAGGCCCGUGCAAGAGAGAUCCCUGAAGCUUGAACUUUAUUGGCUUCACGGUAAGUCCAUUUCUGCGGGCAGUGUGUUGUGGCAAAUGUCCAUCUACACUAUGCAUACUCGAAUUUGCUACUUGUGUAUGUAAACACAGGAACGUAGGUAAUGCCUAUACAGAGAAUAAAUAGGAAUAUACAAGUAUACAUAUAAAAACACAAGAUUACAUAUUGAGUUUUCAAUACACAAACACACAGAUACUUAUUUUUUUCUAUUUUUGUUGUUUCUAAAGAUCAUAUCCAGGCAUGAUCCCUCUUCUCCAGACUUUGAAUUGUCUACCUGCAUUUCAGUGUUCGCUUUAAGGGGGAGGUAAUCAAUUUAGCACAUUAUCAUUCAAUCAGACAAGCUGACUCAAACACCGUUCUCUGAAUUGGACUCAUGCUGAGCAAUCCUCUAUUCUAGAAGCCAGGUGUGAGGGGUGGGAGGCAGGAAGCCAGUGUGGGUAGGGAGCCCAUUGCCAGUAGACAGAGCAUGGCUUGGUUCUUUCCCACCCCCCAAGCAGUUCAGAUACUGGUUUGGAGGUCUCCAUUGAGGAGGGUCCUCUGGGUCUCCGUGGUCUCAUUCAGCCGGGAUUUGUCCUGCUUACUGUCACUCCGCUCCCCAUCAUCUGUGCCGCUCACCUUGACCAAGCAGAGGACAUUCUGGAAGCUCUUCUUGAAGUUGUCAGACAAGAAGGCAUAUAGGAUAGGGUUGGCACAGCUGUUAGCAUAGGUGAGGACCACCACAAAGUCAAACAUGCCUUUAAGGGCUGGGGUGGGGCUGAUGGCCAUGGAGACGGAAGAAACGUUGAAUAUGUAGAAGGGAAGCCAGCAGAAGAUGAAGACAGCCACCACGAUGGACACCAUUCGGGUGACCUUCUUCUCAGACUUCUUCCUCUUAGAGGAGCCCACUCGGAUUCCAGAGGACUUCACCUUGAUGAUAAUGAACAGGUAGCAAAGACAGAUGAUGGUGAGGGGUACCAGGAACCCCAGAAUGAAAGUGUAGAUGAUGAACCCUGUGUACCAAGCCCCAGAUUCACCUGGCCAGUUGAUGGUGCAGCUGCUUCUCCCCCACUGGUUGCUCCGGAGCCCAGCAUAUAUCAUGAUGGGCAAGAUGACCAGCAGAGAGACUCCCCACACAGCCAUGGUGAUCAUCUUGGCCGUCCGGGGUCUCCUCCACUUGGCCGACUUGAUGGGGUGGACCACAGCCAGGUAUCGGUCGAUGCUCAUGACUGUCAGGCAGAAGAUGCUGGUGAACUGAUUGAUGCCAUCCACAGUCAUGACCACCCGGCAAAUGGCCUUGCCAAAGGGCCAGUGGACCAGAGCCACCUGCAUAGCCAAGAAAGGCAGACCCAGCAUGAAGAGCUCAUCUGCGAUGGCCAGGUUGAGGAUGUAAAUGUUGGUGAUGGUCUUCAUCUUGGCAUAGCGGAGGAUGACAUAAAUGACAAGUGUGUUGCCACACAACCCAAUGAUGCAGACCACAAAAUAGAUGAAUGUGAGGACUGCAUUGCUUGUCAGGUCAUAGUACGGCUCUGUCUGGUUUGAGGUGUUGGUUGACACCACAGAGCCAUUGAGGUCAAAUGGAAUGGAUAGCCAUGUGUGGCUUCCAUUGAGUGGCUCAUCCGCCAUGUCCAUGGCUGCUUUUCAGUCUUAGGCUAGUUCCAGCCAGCCCAGAGAUCUUAUUCUCACCUUAAUGGACCCUGGAGGCCAAGGAUCCAGUGUGACAUCUGGAAGGAAAAGAGGAAGAUUGGCCCGUCGGUCACAGGCUGUUUAAAGUCUCACCAAAUUUACACAUUUCUGGUUUAGCCUCUCAGACAUACUCUUAAAUUGAAAAAUGUAUUAUCUUUCCACAUCAACAUUAAGCUCUAGAGUUCCUCAUCAGUGUGCAGACUUUUUGAGUUGUUUUUCCAAUAGUAGGGAAGGGUUUGGGUUCAGCCAUCAUCUGCUGACGCACAUGUCGGGGAGGGCUGUGGCUUCAAAAAGCACAUACUUUGACCCCUAAGAAGUUGACUGAUCUAAACUGCAGAAAGGCAGAGCUUGGAGAAGUUCAGCGCCUGACCUCAGAAGGGUCUGACACUGACAUUCCUGGCCUCUUCCCUACCAGGAAAUCUAUGCUGACUUGCUGACUGCCUUGGAGUCUUUCCAUUCUGAAAAUGCCAUAGUGGAAAAAACCCAGACUCUAGAGGCAGAACAAACCGGGUUCCACUGCUGAGCCCGUGUGACCACAUGCCUGGUCCUUAAUGGUUCUGACUCUUAUUUCUUCACAUGGGGGCGUCAUGAAGGUUAAAUGAUGGAAUAUAUGUGAAAAUGCCUAGCCUUGCGUUGGGCUCAUAAUGGGAACCUCGUAAGUUGUUUCCCCCCAUGUUUUCC